GGCGUCGUGGCCCAAUGGUAAGGCGUCUGACUACGACUUUGUCCAGGCGGGUUCGCUUUGGGAUUUCGGGAAUCAGGAGAUUGAGGGUUCGAGACCCUCCGAUGUCA
Molecule: non-coding RNA, 107 nt
Organism: Microdochium trichocladiopsis
Lineage: Eukaryota; Fungi; Ascomycota; Sordariomycetes; Xylariales; Microdochiaceae
Source: the annotation of a RefSeq genome assembly